CCGACGGUGAGGGGUGAAAGCUGGGGGCACGAACCGGAUUAGAUACCCGGGUAGUCCCAGCCGUAAACGAUGCUCGCUAGGUGUCUGGGAUGGUGCGACCGUUUCAGGUGCCGCAGGGAAGCCGUGAAGCGAGCCACCUGGGAAGUACGGCCGCAAGGCUGAAACUUAAAGGAAUUGGCGGGGGAGCACUACAACGGGUGGAGCUUGCGGUUUAAUUGGACUCAACGCCGGAAAACUCACCUGGGGC
This 247-nucleotide ribosomal RNA is filed under the name uncultured archaeon. RNAcentral describes it as "partial 16S ribosomal RNA". It matches the Rfam family "Archaeal small subunit ribosomal RNA", at positions 691 to 937 of the family's 1478-position model. The record is from RNAcentral.